This 273-nucleotide ribosomal RNA is filed under the name uncultured bacterium. Its description in RNAcentral is "partial 16S ribosomal RNA". It matches the Rfam family "Bacterial small subunit ribosomal RNA", at positions 524 to 796 of the family's 1533-position model. The record is from RNAcentral.
GACGUAGGGCGCGAGCGUUGUCCGGAUUUAUUGGGCGUAAAGAGCUCGUAGGCGGCUUGUCGCGUCGAAUGUGAAAACCCGAGGCUCAACUUCGGGCUUGCAUUCGAUACGGGCAGGCUAGAGUUCGGUAGGGGAGACUGGAAUUCCUGGUGUAGCGGUGAAAUGCGCAGAUAUCAGGAGGAACACCGGUGGCGAAGGCGGGUCUCUGGGCCGAUACUGACGCUGAGGAGCGAAAGCGUGGGGAGCGAACAGGAUUAGAAACCCCCGUAGUCC